RNAcentral lists this ribosomal RNA (702 nucleotides) under Escherichia coli. RNAcentral describes it as "partial 23S ribosomal RNA". It matches the Rfam family "Bacterial large subunit ribosomal RNA", at positions 2241 to 2925 of the family's 2925-position model. The record is from RNAcentral. Lineage: Bacteria; Pseudomonadati; Pseudomonadota; Gammaproteobacteria; Enterobacterales; Enterobacteriaceae.
CGGGUUGCGGACAGUGUCUGGUGGGUAGUUUGACUGGGGCGGUCUCCUCCUAAAGAGUAACGGAGGAGCACGAAGGUUGGCUAAUCCUGGUCGGACAUCAGGAGGUUAGUGCAAUGGCAUAAGCCAGCUUGACUGCGAGCGUGACGGCGCGAGCAGGUGCGAAAGCAGGUCAUAGUGAUCCGGUGGUUCUGAAUGGAAGGGCCAUCGCUCAACGGAUAAAAGGUACUCCGGGGAUAACAGGCUGAUACCGCCCAAGAGUUCAUAUCGACGGCGGUGUUUGGCACCUCGAUGUCGGCUCAUCACAUCCUGGGGCUGAAGUAGGUCCCAAGGGUAUGGCUGUUCGCCAUUUAAAGUGGUACGCGAGCUGGGUUUAGAACGUCGUGAGACAGUUCGGUCCCUAUCUGCCGUGGGCGCUGGAGAAUUGAGGGGGGCUGCUCCUAGUACGAGAGGACCGGAGUGGACGCAUCACUGGUGUUCGGGUUGUCAUGCCAAUGGCACUGCCCGGUAGCUAAAUGCGGAAGAGAUAAGUGCUGAAAGCAUCUAAGCACGAAACUUGCCCCGAGAUGAGUUCUCCCUGACUCCUUGAGAGUCCUGAAGGAACGUUGAAGACGACGACGUUGAUAGGCCGGGUGUGUAAGCGCAGCGAUGCGUUGAGCUAACCGGUACUAAUGAACCGUGAGGCUUAACCUUACAACGCCGAAG